AUUGAACGCUGGCGGCAUGCUUUACACAUGCAAGUCGAACGGCAGCGCGGGCUUCGGCCUGGCGGCGAGUGGCGAACGGGUGAGUAAUACAUCGGAACGUGCCCAGUAGUGGGGGAUAGCUCGGCGAAAGCCGGAUUAAUACCGCAUACGACCUGAGGGUGAAAGCGGGGGUUCUUCGGACCUCGCGCUUUGGGAGGGGCCGAUGGCAGAUUAGCUAGUUGGUGGGGUAAAGGCCUACCAAGGUGACGAUCUGUAGCUGGUCUGAGAGGACGACCAGCCACACUGGGACUGAGACACGGCCCAGACUCCUACGGGAGGCAGCAGUGGGGAAUUUUGGACAAUGGGCGAAAGCCUGAUCCAGCAAUGCCGCGUGUGUGAUGAAGGCCUUCGGGUUGUAAAGCACUUUUGGCGGGAACGAAAAGGACUGUGCCAAUACCACGGUUCGAUGACGGUACCCGCAGAAUAAGCACCGGCUAACUACGUG
RNAcentral lists this ribosomal RNA (484 nucleotides) under uncultured bacterium. Its description in RNAcentral is "partial 16S ribosomal RNA". It matches the Rfam family "Bacterial small subunit ribosomal RNA", at positions 29 to 507 of the family's 1533-position model. The record is from RNAcentral.